GUGUACACAAGAUAGAGCCUUCAUCAAGUUUUUAUAAACUUUACAUUUAAAUCCACCUUCAAAAGAUAUUUCAAAAACUUUAUUCGUAUUAUUCUUUUAAAUGUAACCCACCUCUAACUUUUACAUCAGCUGCACCUUUACUUGAAGUCUUUGAUUUUAUCAUGAAAGAAAGAUUUCUAAAAAAACUAACUGACAACAGCGGUAUACAAACUAGAUAACAAGUAAAAGUAAGGAUUUCGUGGUUCAUCGUUUACAGGGCAGGUUCCUCUAAAUGGCUAUCUUGCCGCCAAAUCCGUUAAAUUUCAUAAUUACUACUAAUCCAAAAUUUCUUGUUUAUGAGUA
RNAcentral lists this ribosomal RNA (342 nucleotides) under Nobia grandis. RNAcentral's name for it is "partial 12S ribosomal RNA". The record is from RNAcentral. Lineage: Eukaryota; Metazoa; Arthropoda; Thecostraca; Balanomorpha; Pyrgomatidae.